AGUUUGAUCAUGGCUCAGAGCGAACGCUGGCGGCGUGCUUAACACAUGCAAGUCGAACGCGCAGUUUUCUGUAGCAAUACAGGAAGCGGGCGCGUGGCGAACGGGUGCGUAACACGUGGAUAACCUUCCUUCAGGUGGGGAAUAACCCCGCGAAAGCGGGGCUAAUACCGCAUAACAUGACGAUGGCACAUGCCGUUGUCUUCAAAGCCGCAAGGCGCCAGAAGAGGGAUCCGCGGCCGAUUAGCUUGUUGGCGAGGUAAUGGCUCACCAAGGCAUUGAUCGGUAGCCGGACUGAGAGGUCGGCCGGCCACACUGGAACUGAGACACGGUCCAGACUCCUACGGGAGGCAGCAGUGGGGAAUCUUGCGCAAUGGGCGAAAGCCUGACGCAGCAACGCCGCGUGGGGGAUGAAGCUUCUCGGAGUGUAAACCCCUUUCGACCCGGACGAAUGCCCGCAAGGGUUUGACGGUACGGGUAUAAGAAGCCCCGGCUAACUACGUGCCAGCAGCCGCGGUAGUCGGGCCCA
Molecule: ribosomal RNA, 526 nt
Filed under: uncultured bacterium
Lineage: Bacteria
Description: bacterial SSU rRNA
Rfam family: Bacterial small subunit ribosomal RNA
Source: RNAcentral